Molecule: ribosomal RNA, 253 nt
Filed under: uncultured bacterium
Lineage: Bacteria
Description: partial 16S ribosomal RNA
Rfam family: Archaeal small subunit ribosomal RNA
Source: RNAcentral
UACCAGCACCCCGAGUGGUCGGGACGAUUAUUGGGCCUAAAGCAUCCGUAGCCGGUUCUGCAAGUCCUCCGUUAAAUCCAACUGCUUAACAGAUGGGCCGCGGAGGAUACUACAGAGCUAGGAGGCAGGAGAGGCAAGCGGUACUCAGUGGGUAGGGGUAAAAUCCGUUGAUCCAUUGAAGACCACCAGUGGCGAAGGCGGCUUGCCAGAAUGCGCUCGACGGUGAGGGAUGAAAGCUGGGGGAGCAGACCGG